GACGAACGCUGGCGGCGUGCCUAAUACAUGCAAGUAGAACGCUGAAGCUUGGUGCUUGCACCGAGCGGAUGAGUUGCGAACGGGUGAGUAACGCGUAGGUAACCUGCCUGGUAGCGGGGGAUAACUAUUGGAAACGAUAGCUAAUACCGCAUAACAGUAGAUAUCGCAUGAUAGCUACUUGAAAGGUGCAAAUGCACCACUACCAGAUGGACCUGCGUUGUAUUAGCUAGUUGGUGAGGUAACGGCUCACCAAGGCAACGAUACAUAGCCGACCUGAGAGGGUGAUCGGCCACACUGGGACUGAGACACGGCCCAGACUCCUACGGGAGGCAGCAGUAGGGAAUCUUCGGCAAUAGACGGAAGUCUGACCGAGCAACGCCGCGUGAGUGAAGAAGGUUUUCGGAUCGUAAAGCUCUGUUGUAAGAGAAGAACGAGUGUGAGAGUGGAAAGUUCACACUGUGACGGUAUCUUACCAGAAAGGGACGGCUAACUACGUG
RNAcentral lists this ribosomal RNA (497 nucleotides) under uncultured bacterium. RNAcentral's name for it is "partial 16S ribosomal RNA". It matches the Rfam family "Bacterial small subunit ribosomal RNA", at positions 28 to 507 of the family's 1533-position model. The record is from RNAcentral.